This 331-nucleotide ribosomal RNA is filed under the name Buthacus stockmanni. RNAcentral's name for it is "partial large subunit ribosomal RNA". The record is from RNAcentral. Lineage: Eukaryota; Metazoa; Arthropoda; Arachnida; Scorpiones; Buthidae.
UUAGUCUUUUAAUUAGGGACUGGAAUGAAAGAGUAAACCGGGAAAACUUUUUUAAAGUUAAGUAAAUGAAUUUAACUUUUUGGUAAAAAGGCUAAAAUAUUUCUUUUAGACAAGAAGACCCUAUAAAACUUUAUAUUUUGAAUUCUUAGAAGAGUGAAGAAGUAUUACGCUGGGGCGGUGAAGAAAAGAGCUUUCUUUAAUUUUAAAAACAAUUCUGUUGAAAUAUCUUGAAGUUCUGAAAUAAGAAUAAGUUACUUUAGGGAUAACAGCUUAAUUUAUUUUGAAAGAUCAAAUUGACAAGUAAGUUUAUGACCUCGAUGUUGAAUUAAAA